UGUAUGAACUGGGUACUAGAGACAAG
Molecule: non-coding RNA, 26 nt
Filed under: Mus musculus (house mouse)
Lineage: Eukaryota; Metazoa; Chordata; Mammalia; Rodentia; Muridae
Source: RNAcentral